UGUGAAUAUAAAGGGCUGUCUGUAAAGUGUUUAGAAAUCUUCAAAAAAAGAGGUGCUACAUAAAUGCAUAUUUAUUGCAGUGCUGACAUUCUUGUGGCAGCUCUGAAUGCAGAAUCAAAAGCAGAGGGGCAGAAUGUAAGUCAGAAUAAGAAACUGUCAGGCUUUAGCCUCUAUCUUAAACUACUUUGAAAUGUUGCAGACAUUCAGAGAAUCUCAUUUCCCAAUAUUGUAUGUCCUACAGUAAUUACACCAAUCUGGAAUAUAAAUUUUCCUUCCCCCUUCUGAGAGAAGGCAAAACUCUUAGAAAUACACACAAAUGGAGCUCUAAUCCCACAAACUUUAAUACCUGUACCUAAUGUCAGGCAGCAGAGCUGUCCCACUGAUUUCAGUGGCUCUGCUCAGAUGCAUGUGUGGAAGCGUUUGUGUGAUUAGAAGUUAAUCAUAAUAAAUGCCAGUUCAUAAGAGAUCCCUGUGUAAACAAUCUAUUUCUGCAUGCAAGUGAUGAUUUUAUUGCUGUUCUCUAAUUCUGUGUAGAGGCUUUGUGAAGAAGUCUUAUAUUUUCUAAAGCACUAUAAUGUUUCUGAUAGUGUUUUUCAUUGCUAGCUCUUUGGGGGCUAAUUAAAAGAAAUAUCUGUUAAAUUUAUUCAUUGCUUGGUUCCUUGAAAGCAAGAGGCACCUGGCGUAAACAUUAAAAAGAAAAUCAGGCAGCAGCCAGACCUCAUCAUAUAUUAGAUGCAUUAGGACACUUUAUUUAUAAAUAUGAAAUUGGUUUUAAUGACUUCAAAAGGAAGAGAUGCCAGGAAGAGCAUAAUACGAGCAAGCUCAGUAAAGCUGUCAUGAAGAUGCUUAAACUCCAAAAAAUCUAGAAUUUGUACUUACUCCCCCCUUCUCCUCUCAAAUAGGAGGUGGCAAUUCCAGCUGCAACUGGCAAAAAUGUACAUGAAGAAGUUCAGCACUAACCAAGAGAAGCAGCAGAUGAGAUGGAGCACCCAAGUGCCAUCAGUGGGAGAUGAGAAAUAGCACAUUUCUACCGAGCUGACUGAUUCACUGGAACAAACCAUGAAUUUUGACCUCUAUGAUUUAAAAUCCUUAAGGAUGUGAAAUCCAUCCUUCUGUUGGGACAACGUUUAAAGAGGCACUUACAUCGAGCAUAUGCUUUACAUUCAUUUGACUUUAGUUUCAAACAGGCUUAGCACUGUUUCAUUCUGUUCCCAUUACAGGCUUCAAUAAAUCAGUAAUGAACAGUGACUCAAUACCUUAUAAUUCAGCAUGCAUUCAGCACUGUCCCACAGAAAGAUGCAAUAAAUGAAUGAUCAAUAGACUGUGCAAGUGAGGAAUAUCAGCAAAAAGCUCUCCUCCAUGAAGAAAAAAAUCUACUCUAAAGGUAGAUUUCACCUUAGGACACGUUGUUGCAACAACAUGCUGAUUUGAGAAAGGUAUUUCACAGGAGUAAAUCUGAUGUUAGUGAGAUCAAUGACCAGUUUUAGUGGGAGGAACCCCAGUAUCUUUUCUCAUUUAAAGAGCUGAAGUUUUGAGCCAGGUGUAAUACAUAGGAAAGUGUCCAAAGAGGUUGAAAGAUUUGUUUUACAGGACUCACAUCCACUACUAUUUGGGCACUUAGAAAAAGUUCUAAGCAAAAAGAAAGUUUGACCUGAAAUGAUGAAAGAGCAAAUUAAUUUUGAUAAAACAAGAAUCAGGAUUUCAUUCCAAGUUAACCUGUUAUGUGAAAAUCUAAGACACAGCACAGAUUUGUAUCAGGUCUCCAAUGAACCUGAUUGCUCCUACACCUCUUCUAAGUGACACUUGAAACAAUUGGCCAUGAACAGGAAAUAGUUGCUUUAAUCCUGGUUGGGAAAAAAACCUUUCAGUAGUUGUUCUCCUCGUUCCACAUAGUGCAGAACCCUUCCGAGAUAAGCAGUGUGAGGAAGGCAGGUAGAAGCUGUCCCACCCAUUUUUGCAGUUUUAGCACUGUACAGACUGAUCCUGUGGGCAGGGAAUGUGACUGCAUGACCAGAGUGGAGGAGAGAAAUUAAGGAUCUGUAGUCUAAGGAUGUUUUCUGACCUGCUGGAAUCCCAUAGGUGUGAUCUUUUCAAAGAGUGAUUUCCCAGUUUUAAAAAAGCAGAGUUUUGUUGAUGUCUUUAAUCACACCAAAGGCACCUUGUUGCUAGGGCAGGAACUUUCCUCAUGCCCUUGCAAAGAAAACAAACAGACAUUGGUUUUCCAUCCUGCCCUGACCUUUGAAAGUUGUCAUCUCUGCCAGUUCUGCACUUUCUGGCCCUGGAGAGACCAGUUCAAUCCUGAGUGAGGGAACUGAGCCACCUCCGGAAUCACCAUCGCACCUCCUGCAGGAGUUUUCCUUGGAGGUGACUCCAUCCAACAACUAACCAGGUCUGACCCUGUUUAACUUAGGAAAGCCAAGCAGGAUUGUCCAGACCUCCAAAAACAAAUAUGAAACCCCACAGAGCCUCAGGGGAGCCUGAGCAGGAGGAGCUGCAGGCAGAGACACUGACCCAGCACAGAGCUGCUGCCACAGGACACCAGUGCAGUGUGUUGUGGCACGACUCCUCCUGCCCAGGUGACUUCAGGGACUUUUCCAAGUGAUUUCAGGGACAGGUCCUGGCUGGGUUCAGGAUAAGAACAGGGCCAGACAAGGGGGGAGCUGCAGAGAUUGUAAAUUAUAAAAUUACUCAUUCCUGUGAGCCCUGUACGUGAGCUUUUGCUUCCCCCAAGCCAGGUGACAUUUAACCACAAAAAAUUUAACAUGCCUUUUACAGGGAUGUGCAUCACUGCCUAUGAUAAAAUACAGGGGUGUGGGAGAGUCAGGAUGCAGCUUUUUCAGCGCAACUCCACAUGAAGGAAAAAAAAGGCAAUAAAAAGGAAGUCUUGGCAUAAGGAAAACAUCCCAAUGAAAUCCUGUCUUUUAAUCUUGGCCGCAAUCUCCUCUCAUCAUCUUUCCUGCUUUUUAAUGCUCUGCUGCACUUUUUAUAUUGUUCACUUUAUCAACUUCACCUGUCUCAAAAGUCAAUAAAAGCAGAGGCCACAGUUUUAAAAUCCAGGCAAAUGAAGUGAGGCACCAGAUUGUUCAACUUCUCCAGAGGUGCUGACUGCUCACAACUGUCAGGAGCAGCAACACAACCUGUGGGUGAUCAGUGACUUUAAAAAUCACUUAAGUGCUUGAAGAGGAACAUAACUGGAAAACACAGAGGAUAAUACUUUCAAAAGCUUCUGACUCAAGAGUCACUAUUUUACUUUCAGAAGUGAUUUAAGCACUUGGGAGUUCAAGAACUACUUAAAAAUCAAGUGUAUUCUGAAAUGCAUAAUACUUUCUGUGUAUGGUGUACAGAUAGCUCUUCUGGUAAUGUACUUACCCAGAAGUUUUAGGCCUUUCUCAGGAAGAUUCAAUAUAUUGAAAUUCCAGUCCAGGAUUAGCUACACUGUCACCUACACAAGCUCUACCAAUAUUCUAAUGGGAAAGUAACUUCCUAUGCUUAUUGUCUGAGGAAAGCUCAGUAGAAGAAUGACCUAAACAACAUUGUACUGAUUGCUGUUGAACAAUCUGAGGAAAGACUCUCCUUUUUUAGUCCCUCUAAUGGAAAAUGUUUUUUUUUCAGUCUUUCUCCUGUUACCAUUUCUUUCCUGACAUCUGUUUAUUGUAGGCACACAGUUUGUGGUAACUGAGAGUGGGGCUGUGGCUGAGCUUCAUCCCCGAUGUGUGAAAAGCAGGUGAGUGAAGGUGAUGAGCCAUGGAGUGCCCAGGUGCACUGACCAAUCACCAAAAGGAACAGAGGGCACACAGGGGCACUGCAGGAACAACGAGGGUAUAAAAGUUGGGCUGGAGAACAGGAAGGGCAGAUGCUUGCAGCCUUUUGAGGUGGUAUGAUGUUA
Molecule: long non-coding RNA, 3886 nt
Organism: Taeniopygia guttata (zebra finch)
Lineage: Eukaryota; Metazoa; Chordata; Aves; Passeriformes; Estrildidae
Source: Ensembl